Molecule: ribosomal RNA, 373 nt
Filed under: uncultured organism
Description: partial 16S ribosomal RNA
Rfam family: Bacterial small subunit ribosomal RNA
Source: RNAcentral
GUAGGUGGCAAGCGUUGUCCGGAAUUAUUGGGCGUAAAGCGCGCGCAGGCGGUUCUUUAAGUCUGAUGUGAAAGCCCACGGGCUCAACCGUGGAGGGUCAUUGGAAACUGGAGAACUUGAGUACAGAAGAGGAAAGCGGAAUUCCACGUGUAGCGGUGAAAUGCGUAGAGAUGUGGAGGAACACCAGUGGCGAAGGCGGCUUUCUGGUCUGUAACUGACGCUGAGGCGCGAAAGCGUGGGGAGCAAACAGGAUUAGAUACCCUGGUAGUCCACGCCGUAACCGAUGAGUGCUAAGUGUUAGGGGGUUUCCGCCCCUUAGUGCUGCAGCUAACGCAUUAAGCACUCCGCCUGGGGAGUACGGCCGCAAAGGCUG